GUGCUCACUUUGGCAGCACAUGUACGAAAAUUGGAUACAAAGAAAAUUGGCACGGCCUCUGCACAAGGAUGACACACAAACCCAUGGAGUGUUUCAUAUUUUU
This is a non-coding RNA of Otolemur garnettii (small-eared galago), 103 nucleotides long. The record is from Rfam. NCBI's taxonomy places the organism in Eukaryota, Metazoa, Chordata, Mammalia, Primates, Galagidae.